This 636-nucleotide ribosomal RNA is filed under the name Pthirus pubis (crab louse). RNAcentral's name for it is "bacterial SSU rRNA". It matches the Rfam family "Eukaryotic small subunit ribosomal RNA", at positions 32 to 567 of the family's 1831-position model. Lineage: Eukaryota; Metazoa; Arthropoda; Insecta; Psocodea; Pthiridae. The record is from RNAcentral.
UUGUCUCAAAGAUUAAGCCAUGCAUGUCUCAGUGCAAGCCGAAUUAAGGUGAAACCGCGAAAGGCUCAUUAAAUCAGCUAUGAUUCAAUUGAUGGUACUUAUACGGUUACUUGGAUAACUGUGGCAAUUCUAGAGCUAAUACAUGCAAAACGAGUUCCGACCGCGUCUUCGCGGCGCGGCGACGCGUCCGUCGACGCGGAACGAAUGCUUUUAUUAGAACAAAACCAAUCGGAUCUUUCGGAAGCGGGCCGAGUCCGGCUCGGCGAGAGUCGUCCGUGGCCGGUCCCCGGAAGCCAUCCGCAAAUCCAUGACGAAUCUGGAUAACUUUGAGCUGAUCGCACGGUCUCGAACCGGCGACGCAUCUUUCAAAUGUCUGACUUAUCAACUUUCGAUGGUAGGCUACGCGCCUACCAUGGUGAUAACGGGUGACGGGGAAUCAGGGUUCGAUCCCGGAGAGGGAGCCUGAGAAACGGCUACCACAUCCAAGGAAGGCAGCAGGCGCGCAAAUUACCCACUCCCGGCACGGGGAGGUAGUGACGAAAAAUAACGAUGCAGGACUCUUUAUGAGGCUCUGCAAUCGGAAUGAGUACACUCUAAAUCAUUUAACGAGUAUCCAUUGGAGGGCAAGUCUGGUGC